GAUGAACGCUGACAGAAUGCUUAACACAUGCAAGUCUUUGGCGAAGCUGUGCUCGCACAGCCUAGCCAAGGCGGACGGGUGAGUAACGCGUAAGGAACUUGCCCUGCAGUCAGGGAUAACAGACGGAAACGACUGAUAAGACCUGGUAAAGUCAGGCGGACUCAUGUCCAGCCUGAUGAAAAGAGAUGCUGCAGGAGAGCCUUGCGUCCUAUUAACUUGUUGGUGGGGUAACGGCCCACCAAGGCGAUGAUAGGUAGCCGGCCUGAGAGGGUGGACGGCCACAAGGGGACUGAGAUACGGCCCUUACUCCUACGGGAGGCAGCAGUGGGGAAUAUUGGACAAUGGGGGCAACCCUGAUCCAGCAAUUCUGUGUGCACGAUGAAGGUUUUCGGAUUGUAAAGUGCUUUCAGCAGGGAAGAAAAAAAUGACGGUACCUGCAGAAGAAGCGACGGCUAAAUACGUG
Molecule: ribosomal RNA, 463 nt
Filed under: uncultured bacterium
Lineage: Bacteria
Description: partial 16S ribosomal RNA
Rfam family: Bacterial small subunit ribosomal RNA
Source: RNAcentral